CUUCAUCGAUCGGCGUCUUCCUCCUGCUGCAGCACCUUCUUCGUCGUCGUGCCAGAGCGCCGACAUGCAGAUGCUUCACCAGAGAUGUAGUCUGGUAGAAAUCUCCCGCAGGCUGCUGAAGGCUGGCGUACUCCCUUUCCUUUUUACCCUGUUAAAGACAACAAAAGCUCCAGCUCAGUAACGUCCACAAGUUAUUUUUCAAAAUCUAACAAGAGGGUCAACGUUUGAAAACAUAAAGCAGCGAGCUGCAUCCUAACGAUGGGCAGAGAGACGCUCGACGCACUGCAAGUGUGAUCAGGAAGCCGCAGUCAAACUGAAACCCGUUUUUUUUUUUAGGUCACUCUACGCCCUCAUCCUGUCUGCCACUACUGACCUCCUGAAACUUUGUUAGGCCUCAAACAUCGACAACAGGUGACUAACAACCACUUAGGGCAGAUUUCCAGCUUUUCCAAUCAGCACAAGUUGAUUUAAGUUCAGCUUCAACACACAUUGAGCUGUUCAAAAAGAUUUGUGGUUUUUAGUCUCAUGUCUUGCACCUCAUCCACGGUGUGAAAAUGUCACAAAUGUAAAUAGUUUGAGACAUUUUAGGUUGAUUGUUUCAGCAUGCAGCACUUUGCAAAAGUAUCAACAUCUCUUUUUAAUUUUUCACACUUAAAACCAAACAAAUGCAUUUUAAUGCAACAGAACAUCGGAAAUGUUCCAUAAUUGUUACUUGCAAUGUUAAACACUGGUAAAGCUGUGCUGUGUUCUUCUUCCCCAAUACAAUAAGGCACCACUUUGUGUUGGUCUAUCACAUACAUAGCCAAUAAAAUACAUGAAACGUU
Long non-coding RNA from Xiphophorus hellerii (green swordtail), 824 nucleotides. RefSeq lists it as uncharacterized. NCBI's taxonomy places the organism in Eukaryota, Metazoa, Chordata, Actinopteri, Cyprinodontiformes, Poeciliidae. The transcript is spliced from 2 exons. The record is from RefSeq and is a predicted model, not a curated record.